Molecule: long non-coding RNA, 891 nt
Organism: Oncorhynchus masou masou (cherry salmon)
Lineage: Eukaryota; Metazoa; Chordata; Actinopteri; Salmoniformes; Salmonidae
Exons: 3
Source: RefSeq, a predicted model, not a curated record
AAGAUACUGCUUCAUGAAUGCCAAUUAGUCCCAUUAGAAUAGUUAAAAGGCCUGUUGAGAUGUAUUUACUGUGAGUUGCAUAGAGUCUCAAAGAUCUGGAGCCAACAGGGGCUGAGUCAGAAACUGAACAUUGUGAGAAAAGAGCUGUAAUAAUGUGGAGCCGAAAGAAGUUUCUUGUCACAUGAUAGUCAUGAAGUAGAGAGAGAAACAUCACAACUAGAGACACAGAGAGAGACACGGAGAGAGACACGGAGGUAGACUGGGAGACCCGGAGAGAGACACGGAGGGAGACUGGGAGACCCGGAGAGAGACACGGAGGGAGACUGGGAGACCCGGAGAGAGACACGGAGGGAGACACGGAGAGAGACACGGAGGGAGACUGGGAGACACGGAGGUAGACUGGAAGACACGGAGGUAGACUGGGAGACACGGAGGUAGACUGGGAGACACGGAGAGAGACACGGAGGGAGACUGGGAGACCCGGAGAGAGACACGGAGGGAGACACUGGGAGACACGGAGGUAGACUGGGAGACACGGAGGUAGACUGGGAGACACGGAGGUAGACUGGGAGACACGGAGAGAGACACGGAGGUAGACUGGGAGACCCGGAGAGAGACACGGAGGUAGACUGGGAGACCCGGAGAGAGACACGGAGGUAGACUGGGAGACACGGAGGUAGACUGGGAGACCCGGAGAGAGACACGGAGGGAGACUGGGAGACCCGGAGAGAGACACGGAGGUAGACUGGGAGACCCGGAGAGAGACACGGAGGUAGACUGGGAGACCCGGAGAGAGACACGGAGGUAGACUGGGAGACCCGGAGAGAGACACGGAGGGAGACUGGGAGACACGGAGAGAGACACGGAGGUAGACUGGGAGACACGGAGAGA